AACUUUAAUUUACACCUCAAUCGCCAGGGAACUACGAGCAAAGCUUAAAACCCAAAGGACUUGACGGUACCCCAAAUCCAUCUAGAGGAGCCUGUCCUAUAAUCGAUAACCCCCGUUUAACCUCACCACUUUUUGCCUAUCAGCCUGUAUACCUCCGUCGUCAGCUUACCACGUGAGCGCUAUUGAGUGAGCUUAAUGCCCCUACGCCAACACGUCAGGUCAAGGUGCAGCUAAUGAAGUGGGAAGAGAUGGGCUACACUUUCUAUAUUAGAAGAAACGAAAGACUACAUAUGAAAUCUAGUCAGAAGGAGGAUUUAGUAGUAAAAAGAAAACAGAGAGUUCUUUUUAACCCGGCACUGGGGUGUGUACACACCGCCCGUCACC
This 384-nucleotide ribosomal RNA is filed under the name Leptodactylus macrosternum. RNAcentral's name for it is "partial 12S ribosomal RNA". It matches the Rfam family "Bacterial small subunit ribosomal RNA", at positions 875 to 1401 of the family's 1533-position model. Lineage: Eukaryota; Metazoa; Chordata; Amphibia; Anura; Leptodactylidae. The record is from RNAcentral.